This 517-nucleotide ribosomal RNA is filed under the name uncultured bacterium. Its description in RNAcentral is "bacterial SSU rRNA". It matches the Rfam family "Bacterial small subunit ribosomal RNA", at positions 1 to 523 of the family's 1533-position model. The record is from RNAcentral.
UAGAGUUUGAUCCUGGCUCAGAUUGAACGCUGGCGGCAUGCCUAACACAUGCGAGUCGCACGCGAAAGGGGGCAACCCCGAGUAGAGUGGCGGACGGGUGAGUAACGCGUAGGAAUCUACCUCGUAGUGGGGGACAACCCGGCGAAAGCCGGGCUAAUACCGCAUACGAUCCACGGAUGAAAGCAGGGGACCGCAAGGCCUUGCGCUAUGAGAUGAGCCUGCGUCGGAUUAGCUAGUUGGUGAGGUAACGGCUCACCAAGGCGACGAUCCGUAGCUGGUUUGAGAGAACGACCAGCCACACCGGAACUGAGACACGGUCCGGACUCCUACGGGAGGCAGCAGUGGGGAAUAUUGGACAAUGGGGGCAACCCUGAUCCAGCAAUGCCGCGUGUGUGAAGAAGGCCUUCGGGUUGUAAAGCACUUUCGGUGGGGACAAACAAGGCGGAGCUAACAUCUCCGUCCCUGAUGGUACCCAAAGAAGAAGCACCGGCUAACUCUGUGCCAGCAGCCCCGGUCA